Ovis aries (sheep) is the source of this 71-nucleotide transfer RNA. It matches the Rfam family "tRNA". Rfam says of the family: Transfer RNA (tRNA) molecules are approximately 80 nucleotides in length. Their secondary structure includes four short double-helical elements and three loops (D, anti-codon, and T loops). Lineage: Eukaryota; Metazoa; Chordata; Mammalia; Artiodactyla; Bovidae. The record is from Rfam.
UCCCCGGUGGCUCAGCGGUAAAGAAUCUGCCUGCAAAGCAGGAGAACCAGGUUCGAUCCCUGGUUCAGAAA